Molecule: non-coding RNA, 2842 nt
Organism: Oryza sativa Japonica Group (Japanese rice)
Lineage: Eukaryota; Viridiplantae; Streptophyta; Magnoliopsida; Poales; Poaceae
Source: RefSeq, a predicted model, not a curated record
UCUGCCUCCGCGGUGGAGGGGAUGCAAGCCGUCGCCGCCUCUUCUCCUCUUUUAACUCUGCCUCGCCACCGCCUUCCCGCCUCUUCCCUUACGUGUGCUGCCGCCGCAAUGUCGCCCUCCUCUAAUCGUGAACAGAGUGCUUCCGCCACUGCCGCUCUUUCCAAUCAGGUCGCCGCAUCUGCAAUAAAAAAUCCAUCCGCCUGGAGAAGAGGAACGUGAGCCGCCACCGGCCACCAUCCUCAUCUGCCAGUGAGGACGGUCACAUCUUGGUAAGGAUGGGGGCAAGGCACGGGCACGCGAAUCCCCCCACGGCGCCCUCCACCUUUUUUUUUUCUCUGUGGCAGUGCGCUCCCUCCCCCUCGCAUCAGUUCUUUUUCUGCGGCAAGAUCUCAUCGCAUUUACAACAGCAGUGGUUCAAAGCAACCUAUCUAAUGGCAAAAGAUCUGCUGGUACUCCAUAGGUUGCUUGGAUUUUAUUUCUACCAGUUGCAGUUGGAGUUAGCACGUAUGUCUUAAUCCACUCAAGAAACUUCUGCCAACCCCGGUGAGUUUUCCCCAAAUGGAUCCCUUAAAUUUUAAAGUUUGUAGUUGAGUGCAUAUAUCCAUCUACAUUUUGCUCGCUGGAAUGCUCUCCUUGAUGUUUUGAUAUGGAGAAGAACAAGCUACUUAGCAGCCCAUACGAAUGUGCUGUUCUCCAAGAGGCAUGUGUGGCUGUGCAAAUGCAGCCUGCGACGGAGUGCCACAACAAGCUCUGCUAAACUGGUUUGCUUGGCCAUCCAUGCAAUGGCAGCUUGGCGCAGCCAGGGAUUGCUAGCAGCCCAUGUAUACGACGGAGUACUUCUCAUGAUAACAAGCUAUAUUAUUAUCUCACUACAUCUUAUUUCACUCCGCAUGAUUAUUAAGAGUUUAGCUUCUAUAUAUUAAAGGUUGCUUGCCUACAUCAAACCUUUGAUUCAAGGUAAAACCCAUCAAGUUCUUCAAUUAUUGUUUACUGAGUGUAAUGUGAAUUAUUAUCUUUACUAAUUUGCCUCUGCAGCCAUGUUGUCAGAUUUGAGCAUACCUUAGAUAGCUAAAUCCUACCGUUUUUGAGAGCAAUUCUUACCUGAAUUAGCUCCGCGAACCAAUUGUUCUUGCUACUAUAAAAUUUGCUCCAUGUUAGAUCUUCCUUUUGUCUUUGCAACCCAAUUGUUCUCGCUGCUAGAACAUUUGCUCUAUGUUAGAGCAAACCAUUUGUUUUUGCAUGCCCAAAUUACAAAUGUGAAGCAAGUUGUGUUCAGUUUUUUCUUCUUGGUCAUGCGGGAAAGUCUAGAUGUGCUUCUUCAUUCUCUGCUCGGUAGUCUAUAUAGAUCGGUUUUACCUGUUUACACGAGUGCUUGCAGUACUAAGUUGAACCGUUCACAUGGACUCCCCAUGUUCUCCUCUUUGUAUGGCGCACAUAUUCUGUCACCUAUAUAACUUAUUCUCUAAACAUACAAGUUAUGUAUUCAGCUGUAAUAGCAAUUAUUCAGUUUUUUACUUUUUCGAGAGGAGUUUACGAAAAUUGUUCUUGGAUACUAUAACAUGCCAGGACUAUUUUGCAGUUUCCACAUAGAGGAUUACACAUUUAGUACCAUGAAUCUUGAUCUAGAGAUUAUGAAUAACCCAAAAGUUCUCUAGACCUCAUGGGUCAUGUCCUCCUAGGUCGUGCUUUCUAUAAAUUUGUUCAGUUCAUGAACUGUAUAGUACAUCUUAUUGCAUAGAAAGUCUAACUUUAAUCUUUACAUCCAACUCUAGGAGAUAAAUUUACCAUGUUUUUGAAAAUAUGUUAAAGUCCAGCAAUAUAUCUAAUUCAUCAUUAGUAAAACUUAAAACAUAUUAUCUAAUUUAUUAGGAGUUAUUGGAUUAGGUUUUUCUUGCGUUGCAUUGCAGGACCGAUUAGCUGAGGAAUAGUUUCAUUUUCAGUAUUGGAUCAUCAAUAGUUUGGUAAUAUUUGAUGAGCUAAAUGUGGUUUUUUUGCUGCUCCUUAAGUUGCUACUGCAAUAAUUAGUACACUUCUAUUCAGCUCAUUCUUUGUGGUUUACAUGCGAACUUUUUAGUUAACUCAUUUUGCUUUAUACUAACACAUAGAUCCUAUCCAAUCUUUAUUAUGAUGUCUUAUGUGGUCAUUUUGACCUUCUAUUGCGGACAUUAUCUUAGUUGACCAAUUUUCAUGGAUUGCUUCUUUUUGUUGUAGGUGGUGUUCAAAAUCAGCACAUGGUUCAUCUCUACCACUUGCAGUCUGAUUCUACAGUAUUUCCUAACCAUAGCUACAAAUACUUUUUUAUGAAAAAAAAUCCCAUUUCAAAUAUACCUCAAUAUCUCAAUUUACAUAUGACCAGUGUUAAUGAUCUGUUAUAUUGACUCUUAAGUCAAUUUUGACACAUCUUGAAUUUAAUUAACCCAAACAAAUAGAUUUAUUUUUACCUUUAUGCUUUGUCAGGAAUUGGUGGGCAUCUGGAUUUCCAGAUAUUACAAUGAUAUAUCCGUGUUCUUCCACGAAGCAGGAGAAAUCUACAGUAUGUCUGAAUUGUUAAGCUAUGCAAGUAUAUGUACAUGAAAGAUGCAAUUAUCAAUUUAUUUAGUUUUUAUAUAAGGUGGUCAUUUUAUAGCCCAGUUCUUAUAUUGAUGUAUCAUCUUUUAGGUUGCAGUAACAUAUAAAGGCCUGCUUGGCCAUGAGUCAUGUAUGCAUUUUGUACAUUGGCAGUGAAAGAUUUUGACUAUGCACUGCUCUUUACACAUUAAAGUGCAGGAGAAUACUUAUUAUGCAUUGUUGUAUGUUAAUACAAUCAUCAUCGCACGCAGCGUAGCGCGUGUUUCUUUCUAGU